GUCCCAUUUCCAGAGCUCCUCGCUCACACUGAGGGAAGGCCCCUGAGAACAGGAUCUGUGCCUCCCCAUCAGACCAGCGGCUCCCCUGGGCAAGGGCUGGAUCUCCCCUAGGAGAGGAGGAGCUCCCAGGGCCGGGGCUAGGACAUCCCAUCAGACCAGGGGCUCCCUGGGGGAGGGUCUGUGUCUCCUGGUCAGACCAGAAGCUCCCUGAGGACAGGGCCUGACUCUGGGUUUCCAUGUAGCAAUAGCUUUGUUUCCUGCUAUUGCUGGAGUCAGCCAGGAUCUUAGAGGACUAGCCUUACAAGAAGGCAGAACAGGUCGUCUCUAUCUUCUCCAGCCCCUUCUGACUCUAAGGGCAUCUUCCAUACCAGCAUUGGCAAAGAUCUUCAAGUUCUCGUGCCCAAACAGCAACUUCAAACUGCCUGUGAGCAUCUCCCACUCCCUGCAUUACCCAAAAAAGUAGAGAGAGGAAGGGCUCACUUUGGGAACCUGGACAGAGGGGCAAGGCGUGCAAAAAAUGUCCUCUGGUGCUGGGAAGAUGGGGAACAAAGCAGAUGCUUGAGUGCCGGCUUAACACGCGUGCCAAUACUUCACCAGUGCUGCUCUAUACCAGACGAAUGUCUGUAAACCUUGAGCCACAUUACAUUAUGAUGAAGAAACUGAGACUGGGAGAAAGGGAAAGGACUUGUCAAGGUUACCUCUGAAGCAAUUUUCAAAGCCAAGAUAUGAACUCAAAACCUUCUGAUAGCAAAUAUUUAAUCAGGACUCCUUCUCCCAGCCCAGGCUCCCCGACCACAGCCAGGAAGAGUCAUGGAGAUUAGCAGCAGAAGCAGGGGGCCGUGGAGAAGAAAUGUGCUUACCCAAGGACCCAAGAGUGCUCCAUGUUCCGGGACACUCUGAACUUCCACUACCUGGAAAGGACUAUUUUAGGGAGCAUUCAUAUGAGGUAAGUGCUCACACAGAGAUCAGAAGAAGUGAUACAAAGGCCUCUCAGAAAACUCCAGUAUCGAUGGAGAGACGUGGGAGACGUGGGAGACGUGGGAGACGUGGGAGACGCUGGCACCGGAUCACCCAGCAUGGCAUGCCAACAUUAAACGAGGCACCGUGUUCCAUGAGCAGAGCAGACUUGCAAUAGCCCAAGGAACGGUGAAAUAAAUGCAUAAAUCUCCAGACAUCUCCAUCCCGAAUGUUCAGCUGGCUAUUUGUGCCCAGCUAGUGACAGCCUUCCCAGCUCAGACUGCUCCGAUCGGCCAGUCACUCACACUGUAUAUCCUGACCUCACCAUGAAAGCCCAUCAACAAUCUGGAAAGGAGGCGGGAUAGUGAAUUCUCUAAAUAGUGAGAUCCUGGAAUCGGCCUUUCAGGCAAGAAAAAAUAGGAAGAAUUCCUGGGGCAGCACUGGCUUGGAGAGUUAUCUCCAACGUGAUCUCAAGUUCCAGAGUUCUAGAGUCCCAGGGGCUGCGUCCCAGACUUUCUAGAGGGAGAUUUCCUGAUGCCCCAUGCUCUUUGGGGAAACAUAACAGUCUUGGUUGGUCCUAUGCAUAUUCCUACUUCAAGAGCAAAGCUGGUGAAUUACUCAAAUAGUAAAGAUCCCAUGAUGUGAGCUUCAAAGUCUAUGUACCCAAGGGAGUGGGGAAACCUAAAUCAUAGGGUGGUGCUAUGAAUCUUGGGGAGAACACUUCAUCAGAAUGACUAAGGGUGCCCCAAGAAUAACUCUAAAUUCAGUUCUCUAUUGUGUAAGUUGAGAGAGGGGGGUCAGGGGAUGGUGAGACAAUCAAGGGAUUUCUUCUUGAUUGAAUGUUUUUUAAUUCAAUUAUUUAUAAACUGUAAUAAAAUACUCUUCUUACAGAUAUUAUAUAGGGUGAAAGGGGGGAGAGGCACAGAUGAGCACCUCAAGAUUUAGGUACUUGAGGUUACACAGAACCUUCUCCCCUAAAAAACCCUUACUCCCUUCAGGGUCCCCUCACUCUUACAUGCCUGCAUUUAUUUACUAAAGAUGAAUUUAAUACCUCAAGAGCAACUGUCACUCUCCAAGUAGCCCCUCCCCCCACCAACUGUCAUCUCUGCCCAUCAGUCUUCACUCUAACAUUCCAACUGCUGUCUGUUCUACAUCAGUGGCAGAAAGGCCAAAGCUUGAUUCAGUUUUCCUUAGAGAGAGAGAGAGAGAAGGGAUGAAAGAGACAGAGAGAAAAGAGAGAGAAAGAAAAAGACAGAGAUGGAGACAGAGAGAGGAAAAGGAAAGAGAGAGAGAGAGAGAGAGAGAGAGAGAGAGAGAGAGAGAGAGAGAGAGAGAGAGAGAGAGAGAGAGAGAGAGAGAGAGAGUUGUUAUGUUAUUCAUGGGGUCCUGGGAAUCCUAAGUGGCUUAUGAAUUUUCUAUAAGGGGAAAUAAAGGAAAUAAAGGCUCUCCCAUACUCAGUACUCAUAUUUUCUGUGGAAUGCCUAUUCAUCAUUUGAGGACCCUGCCACCUGAUUUGAGACACACUAAACAUGAACUAUCCUAAAUUUUGUCUUAGAGAUUCUCCAGAACUGAUCUAGUCUGGGGAAGGGGGGAGGAUGAGCCAAAAGAAGAGAAAUUGCCCCUUUGGAGUCAAGUCUCCAGAAUGGCACCCAGCCCCCCUUAUUCUAGUAUUCUGGGAGGGGCCAUGGGUUAUAAUAGCAUAUGAUGAGUGAGCACACACACAGUGCUUCUGGAAUUGGGAAAAGAAAGAGCAGUUUAGGCUAGGGCAGUCAGGAUAAACUUCCUGGAGGAGGUGCUUCUUAGCCUUGAUUUUGAAGGAUGAGGAGGAUUUGAGGAUGGAAGUCACUCAUUCCUUUUAUUUGUUUACUUAUUUUAAACCCUUACCUUCUGUCUUGGAAUCAAUACUGUGUAUUGGCUCCAAGGCAGAAGAGUGGUAAGGGCUAGGCAACAGGGGUUAAGUGACUUGCCCAGGGUCACACAGAUGGGAAGUGUCUGAGGCCAGAUUUAAACCCAGAACCACCCGUCUCUGGACCUGGCUCUCAAUCCACUGAGCUACCCAGCUGCCUCCACUCAUUCCUUUUAAAGAGGAUGACCUAAGGAAUGGAAAUGAGAGUAAGCCUGAUGUAGCAGUAGGGGCAGGGAAGGGGCAAGAGAGGAGAGGGAGAAUCAGAGUGGAUAGCAUAAGGGCUAAAGUCACUAAGCCAGGAACCAGCAACCCAAUUCCAGGCUUGCUCCAUCCAGAUCCCAAUCAACAAGUUUUCCCUUUUGGCCUUACUCCACCGUUUCUGGGGUGAGGUGGAAACUGGGCUAAUGUAGUCUGGACCUGGGCUAUAUUUAAAUGUCAUCUGGAAUGAUGUUUCAGGCGUCACAUCUCCAACUGGACAGGCCAAGUGGCACCCAGUCCCCCAGGUGAAUCCACAAGGAAAUAGAUCUCCAUUUCCCAUGGGUCCUGAGGGCAAGGGUCAGGCAAGCCCCUCCUAGCAGCAGGAGGAGCCCUAGAAACCCUACAGAGGAUGCAGAUGCAUUGGGGGAGGCACAGGCUGCCCUUGGGGCCAGCAGGAGCCCAGAGGCAAAUGCCAUUCUCAGGUCCGAGGAAUGAUUCUCCCAGGCUGGAAUGUCCCUGUCCUCAGCCAAGAGGGAAUGGUGGAGAGGAUGUGUGGGGCUCCAGGUGAUGAAGAAAGUCUCCGGUUCUUGUUUUUACAGUGAUGGUGACAGGGGCCAAGCAGACCGUGAGUUUCGGAAUGAGAUUCCGAGCUUCCCAAAGAGAUCCUGUGGUUUGCAGAAAGAGCACAGCUAGGUGGUGGUUCAAUGGAUGAGAGCCAGGCCUGGAGAUGCCUGAGAGGCUCCCCCACCCCACCCCUCCACCUGGUUCUAUUC
This is a non-coding RNA of Monodelphis domestica (gray short-tailed opossum), 3834 nucleotides long. Lineage: Eukaryota; Metazoa; Chordata; Mammalia; Didelphimorphia; Didelphidae. The record is from RefSeq and is a predicted model, not a curated record.